Molecule: ribosomal RNA, 301 nt
Filed under: uncultured bacterium
Lineage: Bacteria
Description: partial 16S ribosomal RNA
Rfam family: Bacterial small subunit ribosomal RNA
Source: RNAcentral
CAGCAGCCGCGGGAAAACGGAGGGUGCAAGCGUUAAUCGGAAUUACUGGGCGUAAAGCGCACGCAGGCGGUCUGUCAAGUCAGAUGUGAAAUCCCCGGGCUUAACCUGGGAACUGCAUUUGAAACUGGCAGGCUAGAGUCUUGUAGAGGGGGGUAGAAUUCCAGGUGUAGCGGUGAAAUGCGUAGAGAUCUGGAGGAAUACCGGUGGCGAAGGCGGCCCCCUGGACAAAGACUGACGCUCAGGUGCGAAAGCGUGGGGAGCAAACAGGAUUAGAUACCCCUGUAGUCCCUGUCUCUUAUAA